UACAGAGGGGGCAAGCGUUGUUCGGAAUUACUGGGCGUAAAGGGCGCGUAGGCGGCCCGCUAAGUCGAACGUGAAAUCCCCGGGCUCAACCCGGGAACUGCGUCUGAUACUGGAAGGCUUGAAUCCGGGAGAGGGAUGUGGAAUUCCAGGUGUAGCGGUGAAAUGCGUAGAUAUCUGGAGGAACACCGGUGGCGAAGGCGGCUCACUGGUCCGGUUCUGACGCUGAGGCGCGAAAGCGUGGGGAGCAAACAGG
Molecule: ribosomal RNA, 253 nt
Filed under: uncultured bacterium
Lineage: Bacteria
Description: partial 16S ribosomal RNA
Rfam family: Bacterial small subunit ribosomal RNA
Source: RNAcentral